GUGCAGGCAGUUAUCCAUUUCCAACCUGCCUGUGGCUUCAGUCUGCUACAUUAUUGGGGGUGUGAGUCUUUCGAGCAUGAGCAUUCGGUCAUGUUGGUUCCUUACAUUUUCCACAUCU
RNAcentral lists this small nucleolar RNA (118 nucleotides) under Hucho hucho (huchen). RNAcentral describes it as "Small nucleolar RNA SNORA56 (ENSHHUG00000010285.1)". The record is from RNAcentral. Lineage: Eukaryota; Metazoa; Chordata; Actinopteri; Salmoniformes; Salmonidae.